Molecule: long non-coding RNA, 2055 nt
Organism: Symphalangus syndactylus (siamang)
Lineage: Eukaryota; Metazoa; Chordata; Mammalia; Primates; Hylobatidae
Source: RefSeq, a predicted model, not a curated record
GUGACCUUCUCUAGAAGAGGCUUGGAAUAUUCUAAGGAAGUGGAGCAGGGCUGAAGGAAGUUAAUGCUGAAGCAGAACCUAGGUAGAACAACUGCAUAAGCUCCUGAUAAAGGACUCGGGGCAAGGGUGUGUAGCAAAUGACAAAAGGCAAGCCAGAUGGCAGAGAGAGAGUGAUUGCAGCUUGCCAGGGUAAAUGCAUGCAUGGAGACUGACCUCCCCCAUCAGGCCUCCCCCAUCAUGAGCCAAAAGGAGUCAGGUUGGAAUCAGGGGCGAGCUGGGUGAGGCUCAGGUCUUGGGGACACCAGGGCCUGGCCAGGACCUACCCGGUGGAUCUGCUUCAGUCGUAUCUUGUGCAUAAUUUCCAAUCAAGUCCAUCACCAUGCAUCAUUACACAGCUGCCAUCCAACUCAGGAAUGGCAACUCAGGCUCUGGACCUGCCCUGCUCAACAGGACAUUCUGUGAGGAUGGAAAUGUUCUCUGUGCUGUCCAAAAGGGUAGCCACUGGUCCCAGGUGAAUGCUGAGUCCUUGAAAUAUGUUUAGUGUGACUGAGAGUUGACUUUUACUGAAGAGUUAAUAAAUUUACAUUAUUUAAAAGGCCACAUGUACCUCGCAGCUACCAUCUUGGAGAGCAUAGUCCUGGACAGUCAAUCUCAGCCUAAACUGAUUGGCAGGUCAGCCAGGAGAGGUUUGGCAUCUCCAUCAACCAGGCUGGGAGUUGACUUUGUUGGACAGAGAAAGUCAUCCACAUCAGCCUAACAGGAAGCGUGAGCUGAGAAACGGAUGGGAACCAGAUCUUCAGAGUCAGUUCUCCAAUUUCCCCUUCGAAACAAAAGGCAGAGCAUUUGCACACUCAUUCAUCCAACAGAGAUUUCCUGAGUGCCUCUUCUGUGUCUCUGCUCUGACGUAAUAAUCAUGAUCUGAUUAUAACAUUAACAGAGGGGUAGCCUCGUGCCAGCUACACACUCUUUCUGUAUGUACUAAUUUAAUCCUCAUGGCGAUCCUCUGAGGUAGAUAUUACCUUUCUCAUUUUACAACAGGGGAAAGUGGGUUUUGGAGAGGUCGAGUGACUUUCUCAAUGAUAUGGAAUGAAUGUAAGUGUUCCCCCGAAAUUCAUAGUUUGAAGCCCUCACCCCACUCAGGGCAAAAGUGAUGGGAGAUGUAAGGAGGGAGAGGCUUCUAGGUUGAGAUGAACUCAUAAGGGUGGAGUCCCCAUGAUAGGAUUAGUGUCCUUCUGAGAAGAAGAGGAUCCAUGAAGCCAUAUGAGGAUGUAACUGGGAAAGGGGGCCCUCACUGAGGGACUGACUAUGCUGGCACCCUGAUCUUCUAGCCUCCAGACCAUGAGAAAUAAAUGUUGGUUGUUUAAGCCAACAGAGUCUAUAGUAUUCUGUUACAGCAGCCCAGCUGACUGAGACUCAGGUACUUGGGAGUGGCAGGAUUUGAACCUGGGUCGGUCUGAUUGCAGAGCCCAUACUCAUCAUCAAAGUACUUUUUUGGAAUUUCCCACUGGAGAGGGGGUGUGGGUGAUGGGCAUGGGCUGGGCAGUUCCUUGAAGAGCAAAGAACCAGAACAUCUUGUUGACUUCUGGAGAUGCUGUUACUUGCUAGACCAGCCAACAGGAGGAGGAUGCUGGGGCAAGGCUUUCAGAGGCAUUGGCGAGGGAUUUAACUCCAGCAAAAGCCAGGGGGAAGCUGACUGAAAAUGCCAAAUGUGGCCAGGCAUGGUGGCCCACACCUGCAACCCCAGCACACCUGCAACCCCAGCACACCUGCAGUCCCAGCACUUGGGAGGCUGAGGCAGGAGGAUUGCUUCAGCUCAGGAGGUUGAGAUCAGCUUGGGUAACAUGGAGAAACCCUGUCCCUACUAAAACAAACAAACAAACAAACAAAAAAACCACCCAAUGUGCACCUCUAGUCCCAGCUACUUGGGAGGCUGGGACGGGAGGAUCCUUUGAGUCCAGGAGGUUGAGGCUGCAGUGAGCUGUGAUUGCGCCACUACACUCUAGCCUGGGUGACAGAGCAAGACCCUAUCUCAAAAAAAAAGAAAAAAAAAGAAAA